Molecule: ribosomal RNA, 2892 nt
Filed under: Acinetobacter baumannii
Lineage: Bacteria; Pseudomonadati; Pseudomonadota; Gammaproteobacteria; Moraxellales; Moraxellaceae
Description: 23S ribosomal RNA
Rfam family: Bacterial large subunit ribosomal RNA
Source: RNAcentral
AGUCAAGUAAUUAAGUGCAUGUGGUGGAUGCCUUGGCAGUCAGAGGCGAUGAAAGACGUGAUAGCCUGCGAAAAGCUCCGGGGAGGCGGCAAAUAUCCUUUGAUCCGGAGAUGUCUGAAUGGGGGAACCCACCUACUUUAAGGUAGGUAUUGCAACAUGAAUACAUAGUGUUGCAAGGCGAACGAGGGGAAGUGAAACAUCUCAGUACCCUUAGGAAAAGAAAUCAAUUGAGAUUCCCUCAGUAGCGGCGAGCGAACGGGGAUCAGCCCAUUAAGUUAUGUGUGUUUUAGUGGAACGCUCUGGGAAGUGCGAACGUAGAGGGUGAUAUUCCCGUACACGAAAGGGCACACAUAAUGAUGACGAGUAGGGCGAGGCACGUGAAACCUUGUCUGAAUAUGGGGGACCAUCCUCCAAGGCUAAAUACUCCUGACUGACCGAUAGUGAACCAGUACCGUGAGGGAAAGGCGAAAAGAACCCCUGUGAGGGGAGUGAAAUAGAUCCUGAAACCGCAUGCAUACAAGCAGUGGGAGCACCUUCGUGGUGUGACUGCGUACCUUUUGUAUAAUGGGUCAGCGACUUAUAUUCAGUAGCGAGGUUAACCGUAUAGGGGAGCCGUAGAGAAAUCGAGUCUUAAUAGGGCGUUUAGUUGCUGGGUAUAGACCCGAAACCAGGCGAUCUAUCCAUGAGCAGGUUGAAGGUUGGGUAACACUAACUGGAGGACCGAACCCACUGUCGUUGAAAAGCCAGGGGAUGACUUGUGGAUAGGGGUGAAAGGCUAAUCAAGCCUGGUGAUAGCUGGUUCUCCCCGAAAGCUAUUUAGGUAGCGCCUCGGACGAAUACCAUAGGGGGUAGAGCACUGUUUCGGCUAGGGGGUCAUCCCGGCUUACCAAACCGAUGCAAACUCCGAAUACCUAUGAGUACUAUCCGGGAGACAGACUGCGGGUGCUAACGUCCGUAGUCAAGAGGAAAACAAUCCAGACCGCCAGCUAAGGCCCCAAAAUCAUAGUUAAGUGGGAAACGAUGUGGGAAGGCAUAGACAGCUAGGAGGUUGGCUUAGAAGCAGCCACCCUUUAAAGAAAGCGUAAUAGCUCACUAGUCGAGUCGGCCUGCGCGGAAGAUGUAACGGGGCUAAAACUAUGUGCCGAAGCUGCGGAUGUAUACUUUGUAUACGUGGUAGGGGAGCGUUCUGUAAGCCGAUGAAGGUGUGUUGAGAAGCAUGCUGGAGGUAUCAGAAGUGCGAAUGCUGACGUGAGUAACGACAAAACGGGUGAAAAACCCGUUCGCCGAAAGACCAAGGGUUCCAGUCCAACGUUAAUCGGGGCUGGGUGAGUCGACCCCUAAGGCGAGGCCGAAAGGCGUAGUCGAUGGGAAAAUGGUUAAUAUUCCAUUACUUCUGUGUAAUGCGAUGAGAGGACGGAGAAGGCUAAAUCAGCCUGGCGUUGGUUGUCCAGGUGAAAGGAUGUAGGCAUGUAUCUUAGGCAAAUCCGGGGUACUCUAUGCUGAGAUCUGAUAGCAAGCUGUACUUGUACAGCGAAGUGGUUGAUGCCAUGCUUCCAGGAAAAGUCUCUAAGCUUCAGUUACACAGGAAUCGUACCCGAAACCGACACAGGUGGUCAGGUCGAGUAGACCAAGGCGCUUGAGAGAACUCUGCUGAAGGAACUAGGCAAAAUGGUACCGUAACUUCGGGAGAAGGUACGCUGUUGUUGGUGAUGGAACUCGCUUCCUGAGCUGACGACAGCCGCAGAAACCAGGCCGCUGCAACUGUUUAUUAAAAACAUAGCACUCUGCAAACACGAAAGUGGACGUAUAGGGUGUGAUGCCUGCCCGGUGCUGGAAGGUUAAUUGAUGGGGUUAGCGUAAGCGAAGCUCUUGAUCGAAGCCCCAGUAAACGGCGGCCGUAACUAUAACGGUCCUAAGGUAGCGAAAUUCCUUGUCGGGUAAGUUCCGACCUGCACGAAUGGCAUAAUGAUGGCGGCGCUGUCUCCAGCAGAGGCUCAGUGAAAUCGAAAUCGCUGUGAAGAUGCAGUGUACCCGCGGCUAGACGGAAAGACCCCGUGAACCUUUACUGCAGCUUGACACUGAACUUUGACCUUACUUGUGUAGGAUAGGUGGGAGGCUUUGAAGCUGGAACGCUAGUUCCAGUGGAGCCGUCCUUGAAAUACCACCCUGGUAAUGUUGAGGUUCUAACUCUGUCCCGUGAUCCGGGACGAGGACCGUGUCUGGUGGGUAGUUUGACUGGGGCGGUCUCCUCCUAAAGAGUAACGGAGGAGUACGAAGGUGCGCUCAGCGUGGUCGGAAAUCACGCGUAGAGUAUAAAGGCAAAAGCGCGCUUAACUGCGAGACCCACAAGUCGAGCAGGUACGAAAGUAGGUCUUAGUGAUCCGGUGGUUCUGUAUGGAAGGGCCAUCGCUCAACGGAUAAAAGGUACUCUGGGGAUAACAGGCUGAUACCGCCCAAGAGUUCAUAUCGACGGCGGUGUUUGGCACCUCGAUGUCGGCUCAUCUCAUCCUGGGGCUGAAGCAGGUCCCAAGGGUAUGGCUGUUCGCCAUUUAAAGAGGUACGCGAGCUGGGUUUAGAACGUCGUGAGACAGUUCGGUCCCUAUCUACCGUGGGCGCUGGAAAUUUGAGAGGAUCUGCUCCUAGUACGAGAGGACCAGAGUGGACGAACCUCUGGUGUACCGGUUGUGACGCCAGUCGCAUCGCCGGGUAGCUAUGUUCGGAAGGGAUAACCGCUGAAAGCAUCUAAGCGGGAAGCCUACCUCAAGAUAAGAUUUCCCUAGGACUUUAUGUCCUCUAAAGAGCCGUUCGAGACUAGGACGUUGAUAGGUUGGAUGUGGAAGCAUAGUGAUAUGUGAAGCUGACCAAUACUAAUUGCUCGUGAGGCUUGACUAU